UACGUAGGGUGCGAGCGUUUAAUCGGAAUGACUGGGCGUAAAGGGCGCGUAGGCGGAUGACACAGUCAGAUGUGAAAUUCCCGGGCUUAACCUGGGGGGCUGCAUUUGAUACGUGUUGUCUAGAGUGAGGAAGAGGGUUGUGGAAUUCCCAGUGUAGAGGUGAAAUUCGUAGAUAUUGGGAAGAACACCGGUGGCGAAGGCGGCAACCUGGUCCUUGACUGACGCUGAGGCGCGAAAGCGUGGGGAGCAAACAGG
RNAcentral lists this ribosomal RNA (255 nucleotides) under uncultured bacterium. RNAcentral describes it as "partial 16S ribosomal RNA". It matches the Rfam family "Bacterial small subunit ribosomal RNA", at positions 524 to 776 of the family's 1533-position model. The record is from RNAcentral.